GUUGGAGGCUGAUGGCCUAGCCCAUUGCCCCAUGCCUAGUCUCAUAGAACCUGGGUGGGACAGUGAGCUCUGGUCUCUUCCAGCAUGCCAGGGAGAAGUGGAGACCCUUGGACUGGAAGUGCUGGCCCCUCCUCACUCAGCCCCUUUCCAAGUACCUCAUUGCCAAGCACAGUGUGGGGAACUGAGGAUUCGGGGAAAAUAGCACAUGGCACCACCUGCUCAGGUCCACCCUAAUAACAUCAGCCAAGGCCUCUACAGCAGCCCCCAAGCUGCCUCUGGAUAGUUCAGACAAGGCCUCUGUGCUGUGAUGGAACCAGGUGACCCGCAGCCUCCGGGCCAG
This 340-nucleotide long non-coding RNA is filed under the name Homo sapiens (human). Its description in RNAcentral is "non-protein coding lnc-CATSPER3-2:6". The record is from RNAcentral. Lineage: Eukaryota; Metazoa; Chordata; Mammalia; Primates; Hominidae.